GGGUGAGUAACGCGUGGGAACGUACCCUCUUCUGCGGGAUAGCCACUGGAAACGGUGAGUAAUACCGCAUACGCCCUUCGGGGGAAAGAUUUAUCGGAGGAGGAUCGGCCCGCGUUGGAUUAGGUAGUUGGUGGGGUAAUGGCCUACCAAGCCUACGAUCCAUAGCUGGUUUUAGAGGAUGAUCAGCCACACUGGGACUGAGACACGGCCCAGACUCCUACGGGAGGCAGCAGUGGGGAAUCUUAGACAAUGGGCGCAAGCCUGAUCUAGCCAUGCCGCGUGAGUGACGAAGGCCUUAGGGUCGUAAAGCUCUUUCGCCAGAGAUGAUAAUGACAGUAUCUGGUAAAGAAACCCCGGCUAACUCCGUGCCAGCAGCCGCGGUAAUACGGAGGGGGUUAGCGUUGUUCGGAAUUACUGGGCGUAAAGCGCACGUAGGCGGAUUGGAAAGUUGGGGGUGAAAUCCCAGGGCUCAACCCUGGAACUGCCUCCAAAACUCCCAGUCUGGAGUUCGAGAGAGGUGAGUGGAAUUCC
This 531-nucleotide ribosomal RNA is filed under the name Roseovarius sp. MB-1. RNAcentral's name for it is "bacterial SSU rRNA". It matches the Rfam family "Bacterial small subunit ribosomal RNA", at positions 104 to 670 of the family's 1533-position model. The record is from RNAcentral. Lineage: Bacteria; Pseudomonadati; Pseudomonadota; Alphaproteobacteria; Rhodobacterales; Roseobacteraceae.